This 301-nucleotide ribosomal RNA is filed under the name uncultured bacterium. Its description in RNAcentral is "partial 16S ribosomal RNA". It matches the Rfam family "Bacterial small subunit ribosomal RNA", at positions 509 to 808 of the family's 1533-position model. The record is from RNAcentral.
CAGUAGCCGCGGGAAUACGUAGGUGGCAAGCGUUGUCCGGAAUUAUUGGGCGUAAAGGGCUCGCAGGCGGUUUCUUAAGUCUGAUGUGAAAGCCCCCGGCUAACCGGGGAGGGUCAUUGGAAACUGGGAAACUUGAGUGCAGAAGAGGAGAGUGGAAUUCCACGUGUAGCGGUGAAAUGCGUAGAGAUGUGGAGGAACACCAGUGGCGAAGGCGACUCUCUGGUCUGUAACUGACGCUGAGGAGCGAAAGCGUGGGGAGCGAACAGGAUUAGAUACCCCGGUAGUCCCUGUCUCUUAUACC